GCCGGAGCUGCAAGGAGAGAGGGGCUAAUCCACAGGCUCGUCUGCAAAGCCUAGAGGCACAUCUUUAGUAGCCAACAACUACUAUCAGAUUCAGAAGAAGUUUACAAUGAGUAAAGCAUUUUGGAGACCAAGCUCCCUGGAGCCUUAAUUUCUAAAUUUUCAAAAUUCAAACUUUUCAGUUGAAAAAAAUACACAUGUAUACAAUUUUAAAAUACACAUGUAUACAAGAAUGUAAUGUGUGUGUGUAUUUCAAAAGUAAAACUUUCCAGUUUUACCAAAAAAUACAAAUGUAUAUAAGAUGUAAUUUGUAUGUGUGUAAAAUUUUAGGGUGAAAUACAUUGAAUUGCAAGUAGCACAAAAGAAACAAAAUAAUGGACUUUGAGGAUGAACAAAACGUAUGCUAAAAAGUUUUAGUUUUGUUUUUCUAGCUCUCAUUUAAACAUAUUUUGACCUAAAAAUUUGCACAAAUGUAUAUUAUUAUAUAUCAAGGUAUAUGUGUAUGGUUUCAGAAUUUUAUAAAACUAAAUUUUUUGAAUUUUCAAGUUUUUAAAUUAACGCCUUCAUGAAGCUCGGUCGUCAUUUGGCAUUUUCGAUUUACAACGGGAUUCAAAGCUUACUAGCUGAGGAUAUAAUAUCUUCUUUUGAAUUGCAUAAAAUUUGACUUCACUACAAAACAUAUAGUAGUUAGAUGGUUAGAUGGAUGCAGAGUCAUCAUAUUCCUUAACUUAAGCUAUUAUAAUCAAACAUGCCAGCGAACCAACCUAUAUAAUUGGAUAAUUA
RNAcentral lists this long non-coding RNA (780 nucleotides) under Hordeum vulgare. Its description in RNAcentral is "long non-coding RNA (HVUL_LNC010849)". Lineage: Eukaryota; Viridiplantae; Streptophyta; Magnoliopsida; Poales; Poaceae. The record is from RNAcentral.